Molecule: non-coding RNA, 1378 nt
Organism: Meleagris gallopavo (turkey)
Lineage: Eukaryota; Metazoa; Chordata; Aves; Galliformes; Phasianidae
Source: RefSeq, a predicted model, not a curated record
GUUGGGGGUCUAGGGCCGAUGUGGGGCUGUGGGGGGCUAUUGGGGGAGCUAUCCAGUUCUAUGGGGAAUCUAUGAGCGGCCAUGGGUGGGCUGUAGGAGGGUCGUGGGGGGAUAUGUGUCCAUAAGGGUGAGUGGGUGAGCUAUAGGAGGGUUAUGGGGCGACAUGUGUCCAUAAGGGGCAGUGGGUGGGCUUUAGGAGGGUUAUAGGUGGUUUGGGGGCUAUAGCGGGCAGUGGGUGCACUGUAGGAGGGUUCUAGUGGGAUAUGGGAUAUAGCCCAUAUGUGGGCUGUGGUGUGUCUAUAGGGAGAUGUGAGGCAAUAGUGAGUUUAUAGUGGGGAUUGGGGGCUUUAGGGGGUUGUGGAAUGCUGUGAGAGGAGAUAGGGUGACAGAGGGCUGGGGGAAGCUAUAGGGAGAGUUGUCAUGCUCUAGGGGGCUGUUGGGGGCUAUAGGGGAGUUAAUGGGGGAUAUAGGGUGAUAUGGGUCUGUAGGGAGUAUAUGGGGCUAUGGUUCUAUAAGAGACUGUGUGUGGCCAUAGUGUAAAAUGGGGCUAUGGGCUGGGCUAUAAGGGAUGUGGGGCUUCCCUCUCCCUUUAAAUGAUUAAUGGGGGCUAUGAGGAGUUGUGGUGGGCUGUGGGAAGGUAUAGGAUGAUAGGGGGCUGGGGAGGGUGUAUAGAGAGGGAUGUUGUGCCAUAGAGGGGCUGAUGGGGGCAGUGGGGGAAUAUAGGGAGUUAUGGGCCUAUAGGAGGUGUAUGGAAGUUAGUUGUGGUUCUAUAAGGUGCUGUGCGGGGCUAUAGGGUGGGCUCCAAGGGGAUGUAGGGAUAGAAGGCUCUUUCCCCCUGCCCCCCCUCUUUCACCUGCCUUUAAACCCUUCCAUAGAAGGGUGGCUGAAAUGCCAGUCAUGAAUGCCAGUCAGUUGUAUUGGAAUAGAAUAGGAUUGUUUUGUGGUCUUAAAUCUGAACCAUGUUUUCUCCUUGGGCUCCAGGUACAGAUAUUGUUUAAUAAUGACUUUGGAGAAGUUUUUGGUAUCCAGUCUCCUGAUCAGGAAGAAAGAAGAAUGUUUUUGGAGGACUUAAUCACGAGUGGAGCUGCUGCUGAACCUCCACUUCCAAGAAGCAAGCAGGCUGGGCAGACACGGGAAGCACUGCCUGCAGCAGCACCAGCUGAGCCCUGUGUGCCAGAGGAAGGAACGCGGCGUGUGGAGGAGCAGGAGGAGGAGCCCCUGCGUGAGUGUGCGUGUUGUGCAGGGCCGUUCCUCACAGACUGCCACUGACAGACGUUGGGGCAUUGCAGAGCCUGUUGGUGCGGCGGAGGUCAAGCGGUGUUGAUGUGUAAUGCCAUUUGAUCUGCGUGCAUGCAGAAUUUCCCCGUGUUUGUAUGUC